Molecule: ribosomal RNA, 274 nt
Filed under: uncultured bacterium
Lineage: Bacteria
Description: partial 16S ribosomal RNA
Rfam family: Bacterial small subunit ribosomal RNA
Source: RNAcentral
AUACGGAGGGUGCAAGCGUUAUCCGGAAUCAUUGGGUUUAAAGGGUCCGCAGGCGGACUGAUAAGUCAGUGGCGAAAUCCCGUAGCUUAACUACGGAACUGCCAUUGAAACUGUCAGUCUUGAGUUCGGUCGAAGUGGGCGGAAUGUGUCAUGUAGCGGUGAAAUGCAUAGAUAUGACACGGAACACCGAUAGCGAAGGCAGCUCACUAGGCCUGAAUUGACGCUCAGGGACGAAAGCGUGGGGAGCGAACAGGAUUAGAUACCCUAGUAGUCC